UACGAAGGGUGCAAGCGUUACUCGGAAUUACUGGGCGUAAAGCGUGCGUAGGUGGUUCGUUAAGUCUGAUGUGAAAGCCCUGGGCUCAACCUGGGAAUGGCAUUGGAUACUGGCGACCUAGAGUGCGGUAGAGGGUGGCGGAAUUCCCGGUGUAGCAGUGAAAUGCGUAGAUAUCGGGAGGAACAUCCGUGGCGAAGGCGGCCACCUGGACCAGCACUGACACUGAGGCACGAAUGCGUGGGGAGCAAACAGG
Molecule: ribosomal RNA, 253 nt
Filed under: uncultured bacterium
Lineage: Bacteria
Description: partial 16S ribosomal RNA
Rfam family: Bacterial small subunit ribosomal RNA
Source: RNAcentral